UGGCAUUCAGAAGCGAGAAUGUUGACAUGAGUAGCGACAAAGCGGGUGAGAGACCCGCUCGCCGAAAGUCCAAGGGUUCCUGCUUAAAGCUAAUCUGAGCAGGGUGAGCCGACCCCUAAGGCGAGGCCGAAAGGCGUAGUCGAUGGGAACCAGGUUAAUAAUCCUGGGCCAGGAGGAAGUGACGGAUCGUAGCUGUUGUCUGGUCUUAUCGGAUUGAUCAGGCUUCGAAGCGGUCCCUGGAAAUAGCCCUCCAUGAGAUCGUACCCUAAACCGACACAGGUGGACUGGUAGAGCAUACCAAGGCGCUUGAGAGAACUACGUUGAAGGAACUCGGCAAAAUGCCUCCGUAACUUCGGGAGAAGGAGGCCCCGUUGGUGGGCAACCACUGGCGGGGGGCACAAACUAGGGGGUGGCGACUGUUUACUGAAAACACAGGACUCUGCGAAGCCCAAAGGCGACGUAUAGGGUCUGACGCCUGCCCGGUGCCGGAAGGUUAAAAGGAGGAGUGCAAGCUCUGAAUUGAAGCCCCGGUAAACGGCGGCCGUAACAAUAACGGUCCUAAGGUAGCGAAAUUCCUUGUCGGGUAAGUUCCGACCUGCACGAAUGGCGUAACGACUUCCCCGCUGUCUCCAACGUAGACUCAGCGAAAUUGAAUUCCCCGUGAAGAUGCGGGGUUCCCGCGGUCAGACGGAAAGACCCCGUGCACCUUUACUACAGCUUCACACUGGCAUCAGGUCAGGCAUGUGCAGGAUAGGUGGUAGGCUUUGAAGCGGGGACGCCAGUUCCCGGGGAGCCUCCCUUGAGAUACCACCCUUGCCUUGCCUGAUGUCUAACCGCGGACCGUUAUCCGGUUCCGGGACCCUGUGUGGCGGGUAGUUUGACUGGGGCGGUCACCUCCCAAAGAGUAACGGAGGCGCGCGAUGUGGGCUCAGGUUGGUCGGAAAUCAACCGUCGAGUGCAAUGGCAUAAGCCCGCCUGACUGCGAGACUGACAAGUCGAGCAGAGACGAAAGUCGGCCAUAGUGAUCCGGUGGUCCCGCGUGGAAGGGCCAUCGCUCAACGGAUAAAAGGUACGCCGGGGAUAACAGGCUGAUACUGCCCAAGAGUCCAUAUCGACGGCAGUGUUUGGCACCUCGAUGUCGGCUCAUCACAUCCUGGGGCUGGAGAAGGUCCCAAGGGUACGGCUGUUCGCCGUCUAAAGUGGUACGUGAGCUGGGUUUAGAACGUCGUGAGACAGUUCGGUCCCUAUCUGCCGUGGGUGUCGGAGACUUGAGAGGAGUUGCCCCUAGUACGAGAGGACCGGGGUGAACGCACCACUGGUGGACCUGUUGUCGUGCCAACGGCAGUGCAGGGUAGCUAUGUGCGGACAGGAUAACCGCUGAAGGCAUCUAAGCGGGAAGCCCCCCUCAAAACCAGGUCUCCCUUGAGGGCCGUGGAAGACCACCACGUCGAUAGGCCGGAGGUAUAAGUGCAGCAAUGCAUUCAGCUGACCGGUACUAAUCGCCCGAAAAA
RNAcentral lists this ribosomal RNA (1511 nucleotides) under metagenome. RNAcentral describes it as "bacterial LSU rRNA". It matches the Rfam family "Bacterial large subunit ribosomal RNA", at positions 1276 to 2925 of the family's 2925-position model. The record is from RNAcentral.